This 494-nucleotide ribosomal RNA is filed under the name uncultured bacterium. RNAcentral's name for it is "partial 16S ribosomal RNA". It matches the Rfam family "Bacterial small subunit ribosomal RNA", at positions 28 to 507 of the family's 1533-position model. The record is from RNAcentral.
GACGAACGCUGGCGGCGCGCUUAACACAUGCAAGUCGAACGGAAAGGCCUGCUUUCCCUUGUGGAUUGCGGGUACUCGAGUGGCGAACGGGUGAGUAACACGUGAGUGAUCUGCCCCCAACUUAGGUAUAAGCCUGGGAAACUGGGUCUAAUUCCCGAUAGGACUGCAGGGUGGUGCCUGUGGUGGAAAACGAUUUUCUAGUGGUUGGGGAUGAGCUCGCGGCCUAUCAGCUUGUUGGUGGGGUAAUGGCCUACCAAGGCGGCGACGGGUAGCCGGCCUGAGAGGGUGGACGGCCACAUUGGGACUGAGAUACGGCCCAGACUCCUACGGGAGGCAGCAGUGGGGAAUAUUGCACAAUGGGCGGAAGCCUGAUGCAGCGACGCCGCGUGGGGGAUGACGGCCCUCGGGUUGUAAACUCCUUUCGACCGCGAGGAAGCCACCUGGUUGGAAGGGUGGUGACGGUAGUGGUAGAAGAAGCACCGGCUAACUACGUG